UACGAAGGGGCUAGCGUUGUUCGGAAUUACUGGGCGUAAAGCGCACGUAGGCGGACUAUUAAGUCAGGGGUGAAAUCCCGGAGCUCAACUCCGGAACUGCCUUUGAUACUGGUAGCCUAGAGAUCGGAAGAGGUGAGUGGAAUUCCCAGUGUAGAGGUGAAAUUCGUAGAUAUUGGGAAGAACACCAGUGGCGAAGGCGGCUCACUGGUCCGAUACUGACGCUGAGGUGCGAAAGCGUGGGAGCAAACAGG
Molecule: ribosomal RNA, 251 nt
Filed under: uncultured bacterium
Lineage: Bacteria
Description: partial 16S ribosomal RNA
Rfam family: Bacterial small subunit ribosomal RNA
Source: RNAcentral